GUGCUCGCUUCAGCAGCACAUAUACUAAAAUUGGAACAAUACAGAGAUUAGCAUGACCCCUGCGCAAGGAUGACACGCAAAUUUGUGAAGUGUUCCAUAUUUUU
This 104-nucleotide small nuclear RNA is filed under the name Lynx canadensis (Canada lynx). The record is from RNAcentral. RNAcentral also lists the same sequence under 1 other name. Lineage: Eukaryota; Metazoa; Chordata; Mammalia; Carnivora; Felidae.